This 266-nucleotide ribosomal RNA is filed under the name uncultured bacterium. RNAcentral's name for it is "partial 16S ribosomal RNA". The record is from RNAcentral.
CUGCUGCCUCCCGUAGGAGUUUGGUCCGUGUCUCAGUACCAAUGUGGGGGGUUGACCUCUCAGUCCCCCUAUGUAUCGUCGCCUUGGUGAGCCGUUACCUCACCAACUAGCUAAUACAACGCAUUGUCCAUCUCUGACCACCUGAGUUUUCAACCACCGAAGAUGCCUCCGGUGAUGUUAUGGGGUAUUAGUACCAAUUUCUCGAUGUUAUCCCCCUGUCAAAGGUAGGUUACAUACGCGUUACGCACCCGUCCGCCGGUCGCCGG